GGGACACGUGGUAUCCUGUCUGAAUAUGGGGGGACCAUCCUCCAAGGCUAAAUACUCCUGACUGACCGAUAGUGAACCAGUACCGUGAGGGAAAGGCGAAAAGAACCCCGGCGAGGGGAGUGAAAAAGAACCUGAAACCGUGUACGUACAAGCAGUGGGAGCACGCUUAGGCGUGUGACUGCGUACCUUUUGUAUAAUGGGUCAGCGACUUAUAUUCUGUAGCAAGGUUAACCGAAUAGGGGAGCCGAAGGGAAACCGAGUCUUAACUGGGCGUUAAGUUGCAGGGUAUAGACCCGAAACCCGGUGAUCUAGCCAUGGGCAGGUUGAAGGUUGGGUAACACUAACUGGAGGACCGAACCGACUAAUGUUGAAAAAUUAGCGGAUGACUUGUGGCUGGGGGUGAAAGGCCAAUCAAACCGGGAGAUAGCUGGUUCUCCCCGAAAGCUAUUUAGGUAGCGCCUCGUGAAUUCAUCUCCGGGGGUAGAGCACUGUUUCGGCAAGGGGGUCAUCCCGACUUACCAACCCGAUGCAAACUGCGAAUACCGGAGAAUGUUAUCACGGGAGACACACGGCGGGUGCUAACGUCCGUCGUGAAGAGGGAAACAACCCAGACCGCCAGCUAAGGUCCCAAAGUCAUGGUUAAGUGGGAAACGAUGUGGGAAGGCCCAGACAGCCAGGAUGUUGGCUUAGAAGCAGCCAUCAUUUAAAGAAAGCGUAAUAGCUCACUGGUCGAGUCGGCCUGCGCGGAAGAUGUAACGGGGCUAAACCAUGCACCGAAGCUGCGGCAGCGACGCUUAUGCGUUGUUGGGUAGGGGAGCGUUCUGUAAGCCUGUGAAGGUGUGCUGUGAGGCAUGCUGGAGGUAUCAGAAGUGCGAAUGCUGACAUAAGUAACGAUAAAGCGGGUGAAAAGCCCGCUCGCCGGAAGACCAAGGGUUCCUGUCCAACGUUAAUCGGGGCAGGGUGAGUCGACCCCUAAGGCGAGGCCGAAAGGCGUAGUCGAUGGGAAACAGGUUAAUAUUCCUGUACUUGGUGUUACUGCGAAGGGGGGACGGAGAAGGCUAUGUUGGCCGGGCGACGGUUGUCCCGGUUUAAGCGUGUAGGCUGGUUUUCCAGGCAAAUCCGGAAAAUCAAGGCUGAGGCGUGAUGACGAGGCACUACGGUGCUGAAGCAACAAAUGCCCUGCUUCCAGGAAAAGCCUCUAAGCAUCAGGUAACAUCAAAUCGUACCCCAAACCGACACAGGUGGUCAGGUAGAGAAUACCAAGGCGCUUGAGAGAACUCGGGUGAAGGAACUAGGCAAAAUGGUGCCGUAACUUCGGGAGAAGGCACGCUGAUAUGUAGGUGAAGUCCCUUGCGGAUGGAGCUGAAAUCAGUCGAAGAUACCAGCUGGCUGCAACUGUUUAUUAAAAACACAGCACUGUGCAAACACGAAAGUGGACGUAUACGGUGUGACGCCUGCCCGGUGCCGGAAGGUUAAUUGAUGGGGUCAGCGCAAGCGAAGCUCUUGAUCGAAGCCCCGGUAAACGGCGGCCGUAACUAUAACGGUCCUAAGGUAGCGAAAUUCCUUGUCGGGUAAGUUCCGACCUGCACGAAUGGCGUAAUGAUGGCCAGGCUGUCUCCACCCGAGACUCAGUGAAAUUGAACUCGCUGUGAAGAUGCAGUGUACCCGCGGCAAGACGGAAAGACCCCGUGAACCUUUACUAUAGCUUGACACUGAACAUUGAGCCUUGAUGUGUAGGAUAGGUGGGAGGCUUUGAAGUGUGGACGCCAGUCUGCAUGGAGCCGACCUUGAAAUACCACCCUU
This 1803-nucleotide ribosomal RNA is filed under the name Escherichia coli. Its description in RNAcentral is "partial 23S ribosomal RNA". It matches the Rfam family "Bacterial large subunit ribosomal RNA", at positions 419 to 2207 of the family's 2925-position model. Lineage: Bacteria; Pseudomonadati; Pseudomonadota; Gammaproteobacteria; Enterobacterales; Enterobacteriaceae. The record is from RNAcentral.